GGACUUAAUUGAAAUUUAUCCAAAAAGGGCAAAAUUGAAAGAAUUAAUUAAGGACCAAAUUGAAUAAUCCAGGAAUUAAGGACUGUUUUGUAAACAGUGCACCAAUUUAAGGAUUUAAUUGAAAUUUAUCCAAAAGGGGGCAAAAUUAAAAGAAAUGUUUUAAUUGCUCAGGGGUCCAAUUGCAAAAUUUCCAAUGUUCGGGGGUCAAACUGAAACUGUCCAUGGGUUACUUGAAAACGUUGCCGUUCCUGGUGGAGUCCGUUGCUGCCGUGGCUGGUGGACCAACCGUGUGAUCUUCUUAUCCCGAUUCAACCGGAGACCUGAAAAUCUGCAACAAAUUCAAUCGUGGAACGAGUCCUUUGCACACGAUCUCGUUCGUGGAGGAUACAGUCCUGCAAAGGUAGGACUGAUUAGAGGCAAUCUUGGGAAAUCUCUAUAAAUGAGAGACUAAAAACCAUAUAGAAAGGGGGGGCAGAAAAAAAAAAUAUACGAAAGAGAAACCCAGAAUUCCCAGAAAGCAAACAGAGCAAUCAAAAACAGAACCAAAAAUACACAGAACCCAGAAACAGAGAAAAACCCCAAAAAAAAAAGCGAUACAGAGAAAGGAAAAGGUGAGAGGAGAGUCACUAGAUCGGCCGAUGGUUUUCGUCCCUGCAAGAAAAGGAACAUCAGUAUACCUAGAUAAUUGAUCCCGCAAUUACUAGUCACUCUGCAGACGCCCCUGCACAAAAGCUAAAACACUCAAAACAAAACACAGCAAGCCGGCAUCAUCUUUUCAGCGUUAAACCAGAGGGAACAAUAGGAGAGGAUCAUCACCAACGUUGCAAGUAUCUCCGGUUGCCAGAAGCAGGUAUGAUUUCGUCCUUUUUUUUUUUGCAUCUUCGUUUCAAGGAAAUAAUUUAAGUGUUAUAAGAACACUGUGAAGGUAAUUUAAUUACCUUCAUCAGCGUUCGUG
Molecule: long non-coding RNA, 955 nt
Filed under: Populus tremula
Lineage: Eukaryota; Viridiplantae; Streptophyta; Magnoliopsida; Malpighiales; Salicaceae
Description: long non-coding RNA (PTRE_LNC001768)
Source: RNAcentral